GUGCAUGGUUGUCGUCAGCUCGUGUCGUGAGAUGUUGGGUUAAGUCCCGCAACGAGCGCAACCCUUGACUUUAGUUGCCAGCAGGUUAAGCUGGGCACUCUAGAGUGACUGCCGGUGACAAACCGGAGGAAGGUGGGGAUGACGUCAAAUCAUCAUGCCCCUUAUGACCUGGGCUACACACGUACUACAAUGGCCAGUACAACGGGAAGCGAAGCCGCGAGGUGGAGCCAAUCCCAGCAAAGCUGGUCUCAGUUCGGAUUGCAGGCUGCAACUCGCCUGCAUGAAGUCGGAAUUGCUAGUAAUCGCGGAUCAGCAUGCCGCGGUGAAUACGUUCCCGGGUCUUG
This 344-nucleotide ribosomal RNA is filed under the name Paenibacillus sp. OOS111. Its description in RNAcentral is "bacterial SSU rRNA". It matches the Rfam family "Bacterial small subunit ribosomal RNA", at positions 1041 to 1383 of the family's 1533-position model. The record is from RNAcentral. Lineage: Bacteria; Bacillati; Bacillota; Bacilli; Caryophanales; Paenibacillaceae.